Molecule: ribosomal RNA, 1239 nt
Filed under: metagenome
Description: bacterial LSU rRNA
Rfam family: Bacterial large subunit ribosomal RNA
Source: RNAcentral
UGAAUACGAGACGCUAAGGCGUCGAAGUAGUGUAUGUCAUACUUCCAAGAAAAGCUUGCACUGUCAUAGAUAAAAAACGCCUGUACCAUAACCGACACAGGUGGGUAGGUAGAGUAUACUAAGGGGCGCGAGAUAACUCUCUCUAAGGAACUCGGCAAAAUAACUCCGUAACUUCGGGAGAAGGAGUGCCUUAUUCGUAAGGUUGCAAUAACAAGAUCCAAGCAACUGUUUAUCAAAAACACAGGUCUCCGCUAAGUCGUAAGACGAUGUAUGGGGGCUGACGCCUGCCCAGUGCCAGAAGGUUAAAGAAGUUGGUUAGCAAUUGCGAAGCUGAUAACUGAAGCCCUGGUGAACGGCGGCCGUAACAAUAACGGUCCUAAGGUAGCGAAAUUCCUUGUCGGGUAAGUUCCGACCCGCACGAAAGGCGUAAUGAUUUGGAUACUGUCUCGGAGAGGGGCUCGGUGAAAUAGACUUGUCUGUGAAGAUGCGGACUACCUGCACCAGGACAGAAAGACCCUAUGAAGCUUUACUGUAACUUGAAAUUGAAAUUGGACUUUAUUCGCGCAGUAUAGGUGGGAGGCGUUGAUUAUAAUCUUGUGGGAUUAUUGGAGCCAUCAGUGAGAUACCACUCUUGUAAUGUUAGAUUUCUAACUUUGAAUCAUUAUCUGGUCAAAGAACAGUUUCAGGCGGGCAGUUUGACUGGGGCGGUCGCCUCCUAAACGGUAACGGAGGCGUACAAAGGUUUCCUCUGAACGGUUAGAAAUCGUAUCUAGAGUGUAAAGGCAUAAGGAAGCUUGACUGUGAGACCUACAAGUCGAGCAGGGACGAAAGUCGGUCUUAGUGAUCUGACGGUACUGAGUGGAAAGGCCGUCACUCAACGGAUAAAAGUUACUCUAGGAUAACAGGCUGAUCUCCCCCAAGAGUUCACAUCGACGGGGAGGUUUGGCACCUCGAUGUCGGCUCAUCGCAUCCUGGGGCGGUAGUACGUCCCAAGGGUUGGGCUGUUCGCCCAUGAAAGCGGUACGCGAGCUGGGUUCAGAACGUCGUGAGACAGUUCGGUCCAUAUCCGGUGUAGGCGUUAGAAUAUUGAGAGGAGCCUUCUUUAGUACGAGAGGACCGAGAAGGACAUACCUCUGGUGUACCAGUUAUCGUGCCAACGGUAAACGCUGGGUAGCUAUGUAUGGAGUGGAUAACCGCUGAAAGCAUCUAAGUGGGAAGCCCACCUCAAGAUAAGUAUUC